Molecule: ribosomal RNA, 236 nt
Filed under: uncultured bacterium
Lineage: Bacteria
Description: partial 16S ribosomal RNA
Rfam family: Bacterial small subunit ribosomal RNA
Source: RNAcentral
UGAGGAACAUGACUUUCGGCGGGGGAUAGCCGGCCCAACGGCCGGGUAAUACCGCGUACGACCCGAUGGAGACAUCUCCGUUGGGUGAAAGCAGCAAUGCACCGAAAGAGUGCCUCGCGGCCUAUCAGCUAGUUGGUGGGGUAACGCUCACCAAGGCGACGACGGGUAGCUGGUCUGAGAGGAUGGCCAGCCACAGUUGGGACUGAGACACCGGCCCAGACCUCCGUACGGGGAGG